This 104-nucleotide microRNA precursor is filed under the name Manihot esculenta (cassava). Its description in RNAcentral is "miR11892 stem-loop (mes-MIR11892)". Lineage: Eukaryota; Viridiplantae; Streptophyta; Magnoliopsida; Malpighiales; Euphorbiaceae. The record is from miRBase by way of RNAcentral.
CAAUGUGCUUUUGUCAUCUCAACCUUGUGUCAGAUUUUUGUCUGGUUCUCGCAAGGGAAAACAAAAUCUGACUCAAGGUUGAGGUAGCAAAAGAUUAGCAUUGU